RNAcentral lists this ribosomal RNA (460 nucleotides) under uncultured bacterium. RNAcentral's name for it is "partial 16S ribosomal RNA". It matches the Rfam family "Bacterial small subunit ribosomal RNA", at positions 338 to 795 of the family's 1533-position model. The record is from RNAcentral.
CCUACGGGAGGCAGCAGUGAGGAAUAUUGGUCAAUGGGCGCGAGCCUGAACCAGCCAAGUCGCGUGAGGGAGGACGGCCCUACGGGUUGUAAACCUCAUUUGCAGGGGAGCAAAUGGCGUCACGUGUGGAGCCACUCAGGGCACCCGGAGAACAAGCAUCGGCUAACUCCGGGCCAGCAGCCGCGGUAAUCCGGGGGAGGCGAGCGUUAUCGGGCUUUGGUGGGUUAAAGGGGUACGUGGGCGGAUCGUUAAGUCAGGGGUAAAAUUGAGGGGCUCAACCCGUUCCCGCCAUUGAAACUGGCGUUCUGGAGUGGAAGAGAAGUAUGCGGAAUGCGUGGUGUAGCGGUGAAAUGCAUAGAUAUCACGCAGAACCCCGAUUGCGAAGGCAGCAUGCCGGCUUCCGACUGACGCUGAAGCACGAAAGCGUGGGGAUCGAACAGGAUUAGAUACCCUGGUAGUC